AUGAUGGUCCAAUUCCACUGGAUCUACUCAUGCAUCUACAGAGAGAAAUUGCGUACGAAAUUUGGCUUACCAGACAAACCUUGUUGUGAUUGUGGUGUUCAUUUCUUCUGUGACUCAUGCGCCCUUUGCCAAGAGCAUGCCGAGCUCAAAAUUAGAGGCUUGGAUCCAUCCAAAGGUUCUAAAUUUAAUCCGCACAAUUAUGAUAUAUAAUUAUGUGUUUAUUAUUAAUUAUGGUUCUCCUAAUACACAUCUUAUUUUUGUGAAUAUUAUUGUAGGUUGGACUGGACCACCAAAUGCUGCUCCAAAGGCUUUCUCCAUGUUUAGAUAG
RNAcentral lists this long non-coding RNA (328 nucleotides) under Prunus dulcis (almond). Its description in RNAcentral is "sRNA ncRNA". Lineage: Eukaryota; Viridiplantae; Streptophyta; Magnoliopsida; Rosales; Rosaceae. The record is from RNAcentral.